Molecule: long non-coding RNA, 564 nt
Organism: Passer domesticus (house sparrow)
Lineage: Eukaryota; Metazoa; Chordata; Aves; Passeriformes; Passeridae
Exons: 3
Source: RefSeq, a predicted model, not a curated record
ACUUUCAACUGAUCUGGCAUUUCAUGUACAGCUGCCAAUCAAGAGCUGGGGGAUGCAAAUGAGGGAGGGCCAUUGGUGUUCAAUUACUGUACAGCGAGCGCGCCGCGGCGCCGUUAAUGACUGGCAGUUGUUUUGCUGAGUGGAGGAAGAGCAGAGAACAGAGGCAGGAAUUCCCUCCGGGAAGCCAGUUAAUUCCCUCUGGAGGAUGCUACUAAGGAGGCUAAUCAUGCCAACAAAGCCUUAAUGGUGGAAAUGAUUCACAGUCACUCAUGCUGUACCUCACUACUUCUCCUGACAUGUAGGAUGAGAGAAUCAGUGAGAAGACUUGGAAGAGGGAACUAAAACUGUGGUUUAUGCACUUUUUGUCACAGAAUCCUCCUCAGAAUCUGUUGAACUGUCCAGCAGGCUGACAGUGCCCAUCAUGAGGCAUCACACCCCAAAUCUGUCAACGGAUCAAAAAACUGCCUGAACACUGCAGAGCACCUACCAGGAUUCUAAUAUUCUUGUAUUAAAGGAUAUGAGAGAUUUUCUUGUAAUAUGACAAAAAAAUUGCCAUUUAUUGUA